GCGGGGCAGGGAGCAGCCCCCGAGCCGGGCUGCGGCGGCGCUGCUGAUUGGCUGGCCGCUCUCUCUUCCAAGGGCUUUGGGUUCGCGCUCGGACACAACCAAUGAGGAGCGAGGGCGCUUUAAGGAGGCGGGCGUUGCUCGACCGCUUCCACUUCUGAUUGGCCCAGGGGCUUGCUUGAUUGAUCCGAAGGCCGGGAGGCGGGAGCCCAGGCCAACGGCUUCAAGCGGCGGUUGGCUUUCGCUCCCUGCGCUUCAAGCGGCUCAGCUCCGGGGCUUGCUGGAGUGUUUUCUGGCGCCCACCACCCCGCAGCUAGCUGAGGAGCUGGAGACGAAGGACGGGCGCUGGGGGACCCUCCAGAGGGGGGCCUGGGACAGCAGAUAAACGAAUUGAGUUUGGGAGAAGAAAUUGAUUUCCCUUAAAUCUCACCAGGAGUAAUUGUCAGAGCUGGAAUUUGAGCCGAGGCCUGCUGCCGCCUGACUCCAGAGCCUAAGCUCCUAACUCUUGGUAUAUACUGCCCCCCAUCCUAACAGCUAUAGGAUCCAGAGUGUGGGCACACAUGGUCCUGGGAAAUCCUCAUAGCCAUCCCAGGAAUAUGAAUGGUGACAACACCCGUUGGAGCAGACGACCAAGUCUCAUAGAGCAGAAGACACUCAGCUCACAUAGCUGGUCUGUGACUAAGAAUAUCACAUAAAUUGAAUCUGAACUCACAUUCUUAAUCAACACUAGUCUCUUCCCAUUUGACAGAGAAACAGGUCCUGAGGAGAAAUCAGAGCUGGAAUUCAGACCCAGGUCUAUCAGAAGCCCCCACCCACCCACCCACACCGGAACCAUGUUGCCUCCAGGAAGUAAUUGUCUAGUAGAUCCUGGGCUGGGUCAGGUGGGGAGUCCUCUCACCCAGCCAACCCUGUCUACAAACAAUGACUUCAUCUGGUCCCAACUUUGGCUCUAAAGGUGGUUGAGAGUGUAUUUCACAGCCCCAGAACUUUGGGGGCCUUUUCACUUAAAAGCUCUAAUCAAUGCUACAAUUUACUGAGCCAUUUUUAUGACCCAGACAAGGUGGUAGGCAUUCUGUAUGCAUCAUCUCACUGAAUCCCUAUAAUAAUUCUAGAACAUAGGGACUGUUACUGUCCCUAUUUUACAGGUGAGGAAACUGAGACCCAGGGAAGGAUGUAACAUUCCUACGUUUACCAAGCUGAAAGGUGGAACCUUGAUGGGAACUCAGAGAACCUGACUGUAGAGCCCUCAAAUCUAACUAUCUAGCAUGUGCAAGCAUAAAAAGGUGGAGUGAGCCAGGUGGAGUCUGGGCUCUGGCAAGAUGGACUAGAAGGGUUGUCUGCUUGGUUCCAGGGGUUGGACUGUAAGAUUAGAGGAGUCAAAUGUCUGAAGGGAGUAGAGAAAUGACUAUUGCUUGUUGAGCAAUGCUCCCCCCACCCCCGCCCCUAGUGCCAGACACUGUGUUAACUAAGCUACAAUAUAUGUUGAGAAGCAGGGAGCUUUGUGGUUUCUUAACCGCACUAGACCCAAACUGCCUGGAUUCCUAUCCUGGCCCUGCUGCUUUCUAGUGUGAGACCUUUAGCAAGUUACUUAACCUCUCUUGGCCUCAAUGUCUUCAUCUGUAAAACGGGGGAAAUGACAGUAAACACAUUUCAGGACUAUUGAGCGGAUUCAUAGAACAGUAGCAUGCUACUCUUUUUGUCUCCAGUGCCCUGAAACUGAACUGCUUUCUUGCAAUCACCAUCACUCCUUCUUGACUUUGGCAUAAACACUGAAAAUUAAGGCUGUUAUUUGCAAUGGAAAAUUCUGGGCAAGGUGUGUUCCCAAAAGAGAUAGCAAGUGCAAAGGUUCUGAGACAGGCAUGGACUUAAUAUGUUUGAGAUACAGCAAGUAGUCUGGCUAGAGCUAAGCAGAUGACUAAGACUCAGGAGCGCAGUUCAACUGCACAGGUGUUCAGAACAGAUGUAAAAAUGAUCCUGUACUUUAUGCUUGUUAGAGCAUAAAAGACUUUCCCUCAAGCUUUGAUCUCUGGAGAAACACAAGGCCAUGAUUACUUUUGAGGUUUCGGUAUCCAAAGUUGCUCAGGAAUUUAGAGAUGAAGCUUAGAACUCAAGCCUUCUUGGGGUGCCUGGGUAGCUCAGUGGUUGAGCGUCUGUCUUUGGCUCAGGGUGUGAUCCUGGAGUCCUGGGAUCAAGUCCCACAUUGGGCUCCCCAGUGGGAGCCUGGUUCUACCUUGCCUAUGUCUCUGCCUCUCUGUGUCUCUCAUGAAUAAAUAACUCUUAAAAAACAACAACCUUCAAGCCUUCUUGCUCUCCAUCCAGGGCUUGUAUGUGGGGAUCAGGAGACUUGCAUUCACUCAAAUAUUUACUAAACUCUUGACAGCAUAUGCCAACUGUGCUGAGCCCUGGAGAAGACUCAGCCCCUUUGAAAUCUUUAGAUUCAAAGAUGUAACCUUCUAGAAAGGAAUUAGAUAUCAAAACAUAUCCUUCCAAAAAAAAAAAAAAACAUAUCCUUCCAGAACCAAGUGAAAAA
Molecule: long non-coding RNA, 2527 nt
Organism: Canis lupus familiaris (dog)
Lineage: Eukaryota; Metazoa; Chordata; Mammalia; Carnivora; Canidae
Exons: 2
Source: RefSeq, a predicted model, not a curated record